CAAUAGCGUAUAUUAAAGUUGUUGCGGUUAAAAGCUCGUAGUUGGAUUUCUGCCGAGGACGACCGGUCCGCCCUCUGGGUGCGCAUCUGGAUCGGCCUGGGCAUCUUCUUGGGGAACGUGUCUGCACUUGACUGUGUGGUGCGGUAUCCAGGACUUUUACUUUGAGGAAAUUAGAGUGUUUCAAGCAGGCGCACGCCUUGAAUACAUUAGCAUGGAAUAAUAAGAUAGGACCUCGGUUCUAUUUUGUUGGUUUCUUGGGUUGAGGUAAUGAUUAACAGGGAUGGUUGGGGGCGAUUCGUAUUUAACUGUCAGAGGUGAAAUUACUUGGAUUUGUUUAAAGAACGAACUACUGCGAAAGACAUUUGUCCAAGGAUGUUUUCUAUUGAUCAAGAACGAAAGUUAAGGGGUAGUCG
Molecule: ribosomal RNA, 413 nt
Filed under: uncultured eukaryote
Lineage: Eukaryota
Description: SSU rRNA
Rfam family: Eukaryotic small subunit ribosomal RNA
Source: RNAcentral